Corvus moneduloides (New Caledonian crow) is the source of this 2819-nucleotide long non-coding RNA. The record is from Ensembl. Lineage: Eukaryota; Metazoa; Chordata; Aves; Passeriformes; Corvidae.
UCGGUUUGCAGAGUAAUUUGACAGAAGGUUUGGACACCAUGCCCACUGUAAUUUCCACUCAGGAGCUCAGCCGUGACCUUUCAGGUUCACAGGACACAGACAGCAGCUUGUCUGGAAAGGAGAGGCUUAUUCAGCACAAUGUGAUCCAGCCUGACUUCCUGAAGCACACGUAUAAAGGAAAAAUUGAUGUCCAGGUUGUGUUCCAGAGACCUUUCUAACACAGAGAGAAUUUUCAUAUAUAGUUGUAAGCAGAAUUAUUUCAAAUUAUUUGAAUUACCUUGAAAUUUAUGUCUUUGCUUUAUGUUACCUGUUCCUGGAGCCCCACUGAUUGUUGGAUCCUAUUGCUUUCCCUGAGAGAUGGAGAAUGAGCAUUCAAUGGAGUGGAAGUUAGAUGGGAGUUACAAUUAGUCUUUGAAAGUAUCAAAGGUGUGCAAGCCCAAUUUAUUGCUGUAUUCUGUGGGUUUGUGGGAUUGGGAAUGAGGUCACUGUGGUCUGAUGCUUUGCUCUUUCAGUGAGGGGAUUAGACCUGUGGGGAGUUUUUUAUAGUUGGGGUGAGAUAUGGGGCUGGGGAAUGCACACCCCAUGGAUCCAAUUCACUGCUAAUUCCUGCUGGUUCUGUAGCCUUGGAAAGCUGACAGAUGUGGGCACAGUGCUGUUAAUUGCUUUAUUAUAAAUGGAUCAGUUGUCCAAGAGGAGCUGAAUUUGGCAUUGGAUUUAAGUUUAAGGACUGGAGCCCUAAGAUUUAUCUGCACCUUGAUUUGGUUGCUCACUGUUUUCGGUGAGGGAUCAUUUCUACUCUGUGAGCAGGGCUCUUUGUGGGACAAGGCAAAAGCUGAGGAUGAACCCCACACAGUUAACACAGCGUUUUUGGAUCCAGGUUCUUCCCCACACAGGUGGGAUUAGCUGAAAAAGCUUUGCCUCUCUCUGAACAAGGUAAUUCACCAGCAGGAUUUCCUCAGGCCUUCCGUCCUGAAUCCUUCCUUCCUGGCACAUGGUCUGACAGCAUAUGAGGGAAAUAAAACUCUUGGAAGCUUUAGCCCAGCUGCCUUCUUUAUGGUGAGAACACUAUGCCGGAAAAGCUAAAAUUAUUAUGAUGAUUAUUACUAUUAUUGUUAUGUCUCAUGGAUGCAGGCCUAGGCCCAUUGUCUGAGCCUUGGAGGCUGCCUCAGCCAAGUGCACAGUGAGCUCAGCCAGACCACCCCAGAGCAGGACACAAGCCAGUUCCACAGGGUCUGGCUGGAAGAUCCACACUUUUCCCUGGGCUCAGUCCCUAAGAAAGCCUAAACACAGCAUCUGAGGGGCAGCUAAGCAGGGCUUUAGCUGCACUGGGGAUCUCACAUGAGCAUAAGCAGCCCCAUCUUUAUUGCUCCCUUGGCAGGGAUCACCUGAGGAAGUGGUGUGUGGCUGCCCUCAGCUGGGAGUUAGGGGUGUCAGGAACCAGCUCAGGCACAGGAACAGCCUCUCACCUGGAGAGCAGCUGAGGUGACUGAGCCUGCUCCCUGUACAGGGAUGAAAAACAACGUGAGAGAGAAAAAACCCUAUAAAAUAGUCAAGGAGUCAGAGAAAUUAUCACCCAAUAAAAGUGCAGUAGAAUGGAAUUAUGAAAAAUCCUGAAUAAAUAAAGGAGGAUGUGUCUUAAACCGUGCUGUCAAACUGUGGAUUCUGUCAUUGUCUGAGCCAAGAAACUUGGGUUCAAGGUAUGGUUAUUUCUCUAUGAAUAACAAGGUUUGUGCAUGAUGUGACAUUAAUAAAAUCACACUGGAGAAAAGGAAAGUCUUCAUGUCUUAGUGAUUAAGCAGAGUGACCUUUUGUGGGCUGAAUUACAUUUGUGUAUUACGUAUUUCUAUAUUUAUUUCCAUGGGAACAUCUGGUGCUGGCUCAUCCUGGAAACAGUUUUCUGGACUGGGCUGCCUGUGGGUCCAAUCCAGGCAGGCAGUUCCUGUGCAGCAACUUCUCCUCUGAUGCAAAUUUUCUCCAAAAUUAUUGUUAACAGAUUAACUGGAAAUCUUGUGUUCUGAGGAGCUGCAUUUGCUGCAGGAACAGCUGUGAAAUUUGAUAAAAUCACCAUGGUGUGUUUAAAUGGUUUUAUAGCAGUAGCCCUUCGGUUAACCCUGGAUCAUUUAACAGCUGUCUAAGUCUUUCAAGAGUAAUUAAAAUUAUAUUCUCAGAGAAUUUAAUAUUUUAUACAUGGCUUUUUCAAAGAGGAGCAGUGAAGACAGAGAUGCCAAAACUGAAAGCCUGGCACUGGACACCCAGUUUUGCUCCCUGGUGCAUGAAUUUGCAUACAUAUUUGGAAAGGAGCAAUGCCUGACUUAAAAAUGCAGUUUGCUUCUAACCCCCACCUCCUUGAUGAUGAACUCUGGAAAUAAUAAAAUGUACAGACUAUGGAAACUAUUGACUAGUUUUAAUAGUCCAUUUAAACUUCUCCAGUUACUGUGCUACGAAUGGACUAUGACAACUGGCAGAUGAACAUGUCACUUUAAAGUCCAUCUGACUCUGCAAUAAUUUACCUCCCAGAAGCAUUUUCCCUUACAUAGGUUCAGUUUGGCUAUUUACCUUUUUUUGCUGUUAGAACAUGCUGUUAUUAUAAUUCAUUAAGCCUGUUUAUAUGAUUGCCAAUACUUUUAAGUAUGGAUAAUUGUGAAUGUUUGAGAGUAGUAGUGAAUAACUGACAUUAUGUACAUCAGCCAUAGAGUUAAUUGCCAUUACCUGAUGUAUAAUACAUUCCAUUUAUUUCAACAAUUAACAUGGUAUUUUGUCAUUUGAUUAUUGCCAUAUCUCUUGUUUGACAAGUUAAUAAUAAAAAGGCAAAACAAAGC